UGGGGAAUAUUGGGCAAUGGGGGAAACCCUGACCCAGCGACGCCGCGUGGAGGAAGGAGCCCUUCGGGGUGUAAACUCCUGUUGUAAGGGAAGAAGGCAGUGACGGUACCUUACGAGGAAGCCCCGGCAAACUACGUGCCAGCAGCCGCGGUAACACGUAGGGGGCGAGCGUUGUCCGGAAUUACUGGGCGUAAAGCGCACGCAGGCGGAUGCGCGCGUCGGCUGUGAAAUGCACCGGCUCAACCGGUGCACUGCGGUCGAUACGGCGCAUCUGGAGUGCGGGAGAGGGAAGCGGAAUUCCCGGUGUAGCGGUGAAAUGCGUAGAUAUCGGGAGGAACGCCGGUGGCGAAGGCGGCUUCCUGGCCCGCAACUGACGCUCAUGUGCGAAAGCCAGGGGAGCGAACCG
RNAcentral lists this ribosomal RNA (406 nucleotides) under uncultured bacterium. RNAcentral describes it as "bacterial SSU rRNA". It matches the Rfam family "Bacterial small subunit ribosomal RNA", at positions 355 to 775 of the family's 1533-position model. The record is from RNAcentral.